RNAcentral lists this ribosomal RNA (441 nucleotides) under uncultured bacterium. RNAcentral describes it as "bacterial SSU rRNA". It matches the Rfam family "Bacterial small subunit ribosomal RNA", at positions 30 to 475 of the family's 1533-position model. The record is from RNAcentral.
AUUAAACGCUGGCGGCAUGCCUUACACAUGCAAGUCGAACGGCAGCAUGGGUGCUUGCACCUGAUGGCGAGUGGCGGACGGGUGAGUAAUACAUCGGAACGUGCCCUGAAGUGGGGGAUAACGCAGCGAAAGCUACGCUAAUACCGCAUAUUCUGUGAGCAGGAAAGCAGGGGAUCGCAAGACCUUGCGCUUUGGGAGCGGCCGAUGUCGGAUUAGCUAGUUGGUGGGGUAAUGGCCUACCAAGGCGACGAUCCGUAGCGGGUCUGAGAGGAUGAUCCGCCACACUGGGACUGAGACACGGCCCAGACUCCUACGGGAGGCAGCAGUGGGGAAUUUUGGACAAUGGGCGGAAGCCUGAUCCAGCCAUGCCGCGUGAGUGAAGAAGGCCUCGGUUGUAAGCACUUCGUAUGGAGAAGUUUGUUGUUAAUAUACGAUAGAAUU